This 468-nucleotide ribosomal RNA is filed under the name uncultured bacterium. Its description in RNAcentral is "partial 16S ribosomal RNA". It matches the Rfam family "Bacterial small subunit ribosomal RNA", at positions 28 to 507 of the family's 1533-position model. The record is from RNAcentral.
GACGAACGCUGGCGGCGUGCUUAACACAUGCAAGUCGAACGGAAAGGCCCUGCUUUUGUGGGGUGCUCGAGUGGCGAACGGGUGAGUAACACGUGAGUAACCUGCCCUUGACUUUGGGAUAACUUCAGGAAACUGGGGCUAAUACCGGAUAGGAGCUCCUGCUGCAUGGUGGGGGUUGGAAAGUUUCGGCGGUUGGGGAUGGACUCGCGGCUUAUCAGCUUGUUGGUGGGGUAGUGGCUUACCAAGGCUUUGACGGGUAGCCGGCCUGAGAGGAUGACCGGCCACAUUGGGACUGAGAUACGGCCCAGACUCCUACGGGAGGCAGCAGUGGGGAAUAUUGCACAAUGGGCGGAAGCCUGAUGCAGCAACGCCGCGUGCGGGAUGACGGCCUUCGGGUUGUAAACCGCUUUCGCCUGUGACGAAGCGUGAGUGACGGUAAUGGGUAAAGAGGCACCGGCUAACUACGUG